RNAcentral lists this long non-coding RNA (3042 nucleotides) under Pelobates cultripes (western spadefoot toad). Lineage: Eukaryota; Metazoa; Chordata; Amphibia; Anura; Pelobatidae. The record is from RNAcentral.
GGGGGCUGUGUGAGUGUUAGAGUGCUGUGUGUGUUAGGGUGCUGUGUGUGUUAGGGUGCUGUGUGAGUGUUAGGGUGCUGUGUGAGUAUGUUAGGGUGCUGUGUGUGUAUGUUAGGGUGCUGUGUGAGUGUUAGGGUGCUGUGUGAGUAUGUUAGGGUGCUGUGUGUGUGUUAGGGUGCUGUGUGAGUAUGUUAGGGUGCUGUGUGAGUAUGUUAGGGUGCUGUGUGAGUGUUAGGGUGCUGUGUGAGUUAGGGUGCAUUGUGAGUGUUAGGGUUCUGUGUGUUUGUUAGGGUGCUGUGUGUGUGUUAGGGUGCUGUGUGUGUGUUAGGGUGCUGGUGUUAGGGUGCUGUGUGUGUUUUAGGGUGCUGUGUCAAUGUUAGGGUGCUGUGUGUGUGUGUUAGGGUGCUGUGUGUGUGUUAGGGUGCUGUGUGAGUGCUACGGUGCUGUGUGUGUGUUAGGGUGCUGUGUCAAUGUUAGGGUGCUGUGUGUGGGUGCUGUGUGAGUGUUAGGGUGCUGUGUGAGUGUUAGGGUGCUGUGUCCUGUGUAUAUUAGGGUGCUGUGUGUGUGUUAGGGUGCUGUGUGAGUGUUAGGGUGCUGUGUGUUAGGGUGCUGUGUGAGUAUUAGGGUGCUGUGUGAGUAUUAGGGUGCUGUGGGAGUAUGUUAGGGUGCUGUGUGUGUGUUUGGGUGCUGUGUGUGUGUUUGGGUGCUGUGUGAGUGAGGGUGCUGUGUAAGCAUGUUAGGGUGCUGUGUGAGUGUUAGGGUUCUCUGUGUGUGUUAGGGUGCUGUGUGAGUGUUAGGGUGCUGUGUGUGUGUUAGGGUGCUGUGUGAGUGAGGGUGCUGUGUGAGCAUGUUAGGGUGCUGUGUGAGUGUUAGGGUUCUCUGUGUGUGUUAGGGUGCUGUGUGAGUAUGUUAGGGUGCUGUGUAAGUGAGGGUGCUGUGUGAGAAUGUUAGGGUGCGGUCAGAGUGUUAGGGUGCUGUGUGCCAGGUGCUCCCAGAGGUAUUCCUCACCAUUUCUUUGGGGCCAUGAGGAUUGGGGUAUUGGUGGGUCCGAACUGGUCAGCCGGUAGGGGAGGAUUCUGUUUGCGGAUGUCCGGGAUGGUCAGGACCCGGUGUCCGUCAAGACUCUUCCAUACAAGACCGACAUCCUUUGCAAGGGCAGGUGGGUCCCGCUGGCAGCGGUCCCAGGAUUGGACGCCUGUCUAGUCUGGGCGCUCAGGGAGUCCGCAGUACGGCCGUAUCUGGCUGGCCCAAUCAUGGUACACGAGGAGGAGAACUUCCUCUCCCAUUUUCAAUUUGUUUGGCGGUCAUUCUUUCCGCAUUGGCGCUGCGACGGAGGCCUCUCGGCUGGGUAUGCUGACUCGGGAUGUGCGGAGGAUAAGAAGGUGGGACUCUAGGAGAUUUGCUCAGGUGUGCAGGACGCUGGUUUGCUCCAUUGAUUGUUUGUUUUUUCCUUCUCAGGGCGGAUGAUUGAGCACUCGACAGUGGAGGUUCGGUGGUUCAGCGCCGGGGGGACGUGAAGUGGGUCUGGCUCCUCCCGGAAGUGGUCCGUGUGACAGACCCAUCCGUAUGAACUAAGAUUGCUGGGUUCGUCUGUUUGCUUGUUUCACAAACUCUCCCAUUUGUAUGCAUGGAUUUAAGUGAAUUGACUUUUUUACCGAACAAUCCUGUCGAACGGACAGCCACCCAGAAGAGAAGUGUGCUGCUGGUUAACCUAUUGAUCCCAAUUAGAACGUUGCGGUUAACCACAGACACUUCUCAAUUAAAACCGAAUACAGGGUGGUCGUCGUUCGAAUGUCAGCGGCGGCGGCCAUUUUAAACCAUGCAAAAGACCAGCGGUGUUCGGUACUAAAUUCAUGGAACUGAAAACGGACACUUUUUCAACCGAACACUGCUGAUGCCAUCGACCUCCCUUCCCCAAUCGACAGAAGUGUGCGAACACCAGCCGUUCGGGAGAUUUAAAGGCACGAAUGGACUUACCCCAGAUAGCCUUCCCAUGGAGUCAAUCGCAUACUGAAGAACUGUAAUAGACUUUGACUCCAUGGCGAUUGAACUAUGCGUAUGGGAUCUGAGCGCUAUUUGCCAAUAAUAUGCACUCAGAUCCAGGCUAUCUGGGAUGUGUUACACGAAUGAGAAAUGUUCGGCAGUUAUAAAGUUAUAUAUUUUUAUGUGUUUUAUGAUUUGUAUUUAAUAUGGCGAUUUGCCUCUGCUCUGGGAGAUAAUUGAAUUACUUCUCAAUUAUCUUCCGGGCAUAGUGGAGGAAACUGUUAUGUAUGCUGGGAAUAUUGUGUGACUGUAUGUCCUGAAAUGCCAUAUGUCCAUCUGCUAUUCCAGUCUCCCAUUUGGUCCCCUAGGGGAGUGUCCACCAGGUGGGAGACCUGCAUAAAUACGAGCGGGUAGCCCACACUAAACUCAGUUCGUGUUUUACCCUCAAUGCAGAGCUUGGUCUCGUUAUUGGGGUGAUUUUAUUACCGGCGACUAGAGACUGCUAUUUGGAAUUAUCAGCCGCUUGGGAGAUACCGGCGUUCGGCUGAUAUUGACGGUUCGUGAGCUUGAAGCUCGUGGAGGGAAGUGACCGUACGGAUACCGUUCGGGACUUUGGAGUGUUCCCUUGCUGGCAGUUCGCAUGGUUGUAUUGGAUACGCUUACAGCCUACAUUAUUGCGAACGGGGAGCAUUCACUAAACGGCGGUUUGUACAUUUCAUGCUGAAGGUACCGUAACAGUCAGGUUCUCUCGCUUGCGGGGGGGUGUCAUUGGUUCUGGUCAUUCCCCCUGGGGGGGUACUGACCUGGGGACGGUGCCGCUCGGUGACUUGGUGGACAUAGGGAAGCGGGACUUACAUAGAAACAUAGAAACAUAGAAUGUGACGGCAGAUAAGAACCAUUCGGCCCAUCUAGUCUGCCCAAUUUUCUAAAUACUUUCAUUAGUCCCUAGCCUUAUCUUAUAGUUAGGAUAGCCUUAUGCCUAUCCCACGCAUGCUUAAACUCCUUUACUGUGUUAACCUCUACCACUUCAGCUGGAAGGCUAUUCCAUGCAUCCACUAC